RNAcentral lists this ribosomal RNA (274 nucleotides) under uncultured bacterium. RNAcentral describes it as "partial 16S ribosomal RNA". It matches the Rfam family "Bacterial small subunit ribosomal RNA", at positions 523 to 796 of the family's 1533-position model. The record is from RNAcentral.
AUACGGAGGGUGCAAGCGUUACUCGGAAUCACUGGGCGUAAAGCGCGCGCAGGCGGAUUGGCAAGUUGGAUGAGAAAGCCUGCGGCUCAACCGCAGAACUGCAUCCAAAACUGUCAGUCUAGAGUCUGGGAGAGGUAGCUGGAAUUAGUGGUGUAGGGGUAAAAUCCGUAGAGAUCACUAGGAAUACCGAAAGCGAAGGCGAGCUACUGGAACAGUACUGACGCUGAGGCGCGAAAGCGUGGGGAGCAAACAGGAUUAGAAACCCUAGUAGUCC